This 253-nucleotide ribosomal RNA is filed under the name uncultured bacterium. RNAcentral's name for it is "partial 16S ribosomal RNA". It matches the Rfam family "Bacterial small subunit ribosomal RNA", at positions 524 to 776 of the family's 1533-position model. The record is from RNAcentral.
UACAGAGGGUGCGAGCGUUAAUCGGAAUUACUGGGCGUAAAGCGCACGUAGGUGGCGACGUAAGUCGGGUGUGAAAGCCCCGGGCUCAACCUGGGAAUUGCAUUCGAGACCGCAUUGCUGGAGUACGGAAGAGGAAGGCGGAAUUCCCGGUGUAGCGGUGAAAUGCGUAGAUAUCGGGAGGAACAUCAGUGGCGAAGGCGGCCUUCUGGUCCAGUACUGACACUCAAGUGCGAAAGCGUGGGGAGCAAACAGG